UUCUAGCCCAGAUUGCAGUGGAAAGCUUUUUAUGUUUUUUGCUUUAAAAUUCACAGGGUUACAAAGCGACCAACGGAAGCUCUUGUAACCCUGAUAAAUUUUUGGCAAAAAACAUAAAAACUUGGAACGGAAAGCUGGAUUGGCU
Molecule: small RNA, 145 nt
Filed under: Flavobacterium lacus
Lineage: Bacteria; Pseudomonadati; Bacteroidota; Flavobacteriia; Flavobacteriales; Flavobacteriaceae
Description: Flavo-1 RNA
Rfam family: Flavo-1 RNA
Source: RNAcentral